UACGUAGGGUGCGAGCGUUGUCCGGAAUUAUUGGGCGUAAAGGGCUCGUAGGCGGUCUGUCGCGUCGGGAGUGAAAACUCAGGGCUUAACCCUGAGCCUGCUUCCGAUACGGGCAGACUAGAGGUAUGCAGGGGAGAACGGAAUUCCUGGUGUAGUGGUGAAAUGCGUAGAGAUCCGGAGGAACACCAGAGGCGAAGGCGGCCUACUGGGCUGCACCUGACGCUGAGCCGCGAAAGCCAGGGGAGCGAACGGG
This 253-nucleotide ribosomal RNA is filed under the name uncultured bacterium. RNAcentral describes it as "partial 16S ribosomal RNA". It matches the Rfam family "Bacterial small subunit ribosomal RNA", at positions 524 to 776 of the family's 1533-position model. The record is from RNAcentral.